GGUUAAGCGACUAAGCGUACACGGUGGAUGCCUUGGCAGUCAGAGGCGAUGAAGGACGUGCUAAUCUGCGAUAAGCGUCGGUAAGGUGAUAUGAACCGUUAUAACCGGCGAUUUCCGAAUGGGGAAACCCAGUGUGAUUCGUCACACUAUCAUUAACUGAAUCCAUAGGUUAAUGAGGCGAACCGGGGGAACUGAAACAUCUAAGUACCCCGAGGAAAAGAAAUCAACCGAGAUUCCCCCAGUAGCGGCGAGCGAACGGGGAGCAGCCCAGAGCCUGAAUCAGUGUGUGUGUUAGUGGAAGCGUCUGGAAAGGCGCGCGAUACAGGGUGACAGCCCCGUACACAAAAAUGCACAUGCUGUGAGCUCGAUGAGUAGGGCGGGACACGUGGUAUCCUGUCUGAAUAUGGGGGGACCAUCCUCCAAGGCUAAAUACUCCUGACUGACCGAUAGUGAACCAGUACCGUGAGGGAAAGGCGAAAAGAACCCCGGCGAGGGGAGUGAAAAAGAACCUGAAACCGUGUACGUACAAGCAGUGGGAGCACAGAGCAAUCUGUGUGACUGCGUACCUUUUGUAUAAUGGGUCAGCGACUUAUAUUCUGUAGCAAGGUUAACCGAAUAGGGGAGCCGAAGGGAAACCGAGUCUUAACUGGGCGUUAAGUUGCAGGGUAUAGACCCGAAACCCGGUGAUCUAGCCAUGGGCAGGUUGAAGGUUGGGUAACACUAACUGGAGGACCGAACCGACUAAUGUUGAAAAAUUAGCGGAUGACUUGUGGCUGGGGGUGAAAGGCCAAUCAAACCGGGAGAUAGCUGGUUCUCCCCGAAAGCUAUUUAGGUAGCGCCUCGUGAAUUCAUCUCCGGGGGUAGAGCACUGUUUCGGCAAGGGGGUCAUCCCGACUUACCAACCCGAUGCAAACUGCGAAUACCGGAGAAUGUUAUCACGGGAGACACACGGCGGGUGCUAACGUCCGUCGUGAAGAGGGAAACAACCCAGACCGCCAGCUAAGGUCCCAAAGUCAUGGUUAAGUGGGAAACGAUGUGGGAAGGCCCAGACAGCCAGGAUGUUGGCUUAGAAGCAGCCAUCAUUUAAAGAAAGCGUAAUAGCUCACUGGUCGAGUCGGCCUGCGCGGAAGAUGUAACGGGGCUAAACCAUGCACCGAAGCUGCGGCAGCGACGCUUAUGCGUUGUUGGGUAGGGGAGCGUUCUGUAAGCCUGUGAAGGUGUACUGUGAGGUAUGCUGGAGGUAUCAGAAGUGCGAAUGCUGACAUAAGUAACGAUAAAGCGGGUGAAAAGCCCGCUCGCCGGAAGACCAAGGGUUCCUGUCCAACGUUAAUCGGGGCAGGGUGAGUCGACCCCUAAGGCGAGGCCGAAAGGCGUAGUCGAUGGGAAACAGGUUAAUAUUCCUGUACUUGGUGUUACUGCGAAGGGGGGACGGAGAAGGCUAUGUUGGCCGGGCGACGGUUGUCCCGGUUUAAGCGUGUAGGCUGGUUUUCCAGGCAAAUCCGGAAAAUCAAGGCUGAGGCGUGAUGACGAGGCACUACGGUGCUGAAGCAACAAAUGCCCUGCUUCCAGGAAAAGCCUCUAAGCAUCAGGUAACAUCAAAUCGUACCCCAAACCGACACAGGUGGUCAGGUAGAGAAUACCAAGGCGCUUGAGAGAACUCGGGUGAAGGAACUAGGCAAAAUGGUGCCGUAACUUCGGGAGAAGGCACGCUGAUAUGUAGGUGAAGUCCCUCGCGGAUGGAGCUGAAAUCAGUCGAAGAUACCAGCUGGCUGCAACUGUUUAUUAAAAACACAGCACUGUGCAAACACGAAAGUGGACGUAUACGGUGUGACGCCUGCCCGGUGCCGGAAGGUUAAUUGAUGGGGUCAGCGCAAGCGAAGCUCUUGAUCGAAGCCCCGGUAAACGGCGGCCGUAACUAUAACGGUCCUAAGGUAGCGAAAUUCCUUGUCGGGUAAGUUCCGACCUGCACGAAUGGCGUAAUGAUGGCCAGGCUGUCUCCACCCGAGACUCAGUGAAAUUGAACUCGCUGUGAAGAUGCAGUGUACCCGCGGCAAGACGGAAAGACCCCGUGAACCUUUACUAUAGCUUGACACUGAACAUUGAGCCUUGAUGUGUAGGAUAGGUGGGAGGCUUGGAAGUGUGGACGCCAGUCUGCAUGGAGCCGACCUUGAAAUACCACCCUUUAAUGUUUGAUGUUCUAACGUUGACCCGUAAUCCGGGUUGCGGACAGUGUCUGGUGGGUAGUUUGACUGGGGCGGUCUCCUCCUAAAGAGUAACGGAGGAGCACGAAGGUUGGCUAAUCCUGGUCGGACAUCAGGAGGUUAGUGCAAUGGCAUAAGCCUAGCUUGACUGCGAGCGUGACGGCGCGAGCAGGUGCGAAAGCAGGUCAUAGUGAUCCGGUGGUUCUGAAUGGAAGGGCCAUCGCUCAACGGAUAGAAGGUACUCCGGGGAUAACAGGCUGAUACCGCCCAAGAGUUCAUAUCGACGGCGGUGUUUGGCACCUCGAUGUCGGCUCAUCACAUCCUGGGGCUGAAGUAGGUCCCAAGGGUAUGGCUGUUCGCCAUUUAAAGUGGUACGCGAGCUGGGUUUAGAACGUCGUGAGACAGUUCGGUCCCUAUCUGCCGUGGGCGCUGGAGAACUGAGGGGGGCUGCUCCUAGUACGAGAGGACCGGAGUGGACGCAUCACUGGUGUUCGGGUUGUCAUGCCAAUGGCACUGCCCGGUAGCUAAAUGCGGAAGAGAUAAGUGCUGAAAGCAUCUAAGCACGAAACUUGCCCCGAGAUGAGUUCUCCCUGACUCCUUGAGAGUCCUGAAGGAACGUUGAAGACGACGACGUUGAUAGGCCGGGUGUGUAAGCGCAGCGAUGCGUUGAGCUAACCGGUACUAAUGAACCGUGAGGCUUAACCUU
RNAcentral lists this ribosomal RNA (2907 nucleotides) under Escherichia coli 9.0111. RNAcentral's name for it is "bacterial LSU rRNA". It matches the Rfam family "Bacterial large subunit ribosomal RNA". Lineage: Bacteria; Pseudomonadati; Pseudomonadota; Gammaproteobacteria; Enterobacterales; Enterobacteriaceae. The record is from RNAcentral.